Ursus americanus (American black bear) is the source of this 107-nucleotide ribosomal RNA. The record is from Ensembl. NCBI's taxonomy places the organism in Eukaryota, Metazoa, Chordata, Mammalia, Carnivora, Ursidae.
UCUACGGGCCAUACCACCUGGAACGCCUGAUUGCCCGAUAGUCUGAUCUCGGAAGCUAAGCAGGGUCGGGCCUGGUUAGUACUUGGAUGGGAUUGGGGUCCCUAACA